Unclassified non-coding RNA from Erinaceus europaeus (western European hedgehog), 302 nucleotides. Its record names the gene 7SK. It matches the Rfam family "7SK RNA". From Rfam's summary of the family: 7SK was discovered as an abundant small nuclear RNA in the mid-70s but a possible function has only recently been suggested. Two independent studies have found that 7SK RNA binds the CDK9/cyclin T complex (known as elongation factor P-TEFb). P-TEFb activates transcription by phosphorylating the C-terminal domain of RNA polymerase II. NCBI's taxonomy places the organism in Eukaryota, Metazoa, Chordata, Mammalia, Eulipotyphla, Erinaceidae. The record is from Ensembl.
GGAUGUGAGGGCGGUCUGGCUGUGACAUCUGUUAACCCACUGGUUACCAGGAUUGAUUUGGCUGAUCUGGCUGGUUAGGCGGGUGACCCUUUCUUCUUUCACUGCUCCAUGUGUGUCCCUCCUGAAGCUGUGUGCUCCAUGGAAGAGGAUGGCCUUUCCAGAAUAGAGAGGAACUGGUCUUCAGUUGAGGGUAUAUGAGUAACCACACUCCCAUGCUAGGACCUCCAGACAAGCUCUUAAGAUUCAGUCUCGGGGACCAGGGAGACAGCUUAAUAUAACAGAGCACAGAAUUUGCAUGCCUG